This 117-nucleotide small RNA is filed under the name Macaca fascicularis (crab-eating macaque). Its description in RNAcentral is "Metazoan signal recognition particle RNA (ENSMFAG00000064439.1)". Lineage: Eukaryota; Metazoa; Chordata; Mammalia; Primates; Cercopithecidae. The record is from Rfam by way of RNAcentral.
GCAGGGCGUGGUGGCUCACGCCUGUAAUCCCAGCACUUUGGGAGGCAGAGGUGGGCGGAUCACCUGAGGUCAGGAGUUCAAGACCGGCCUGACCAAUAUGGUGAAACCCCAUCUCUA